AUGAUAAAACAAUAUACCAAAUAUCAAAUCAACAUAUUCAAGAACGAAGAAAAAGUGUGGAAAACUGAUUUGACCGAAUGCAAACCUAAAGUCCCCUUCAACUUUGUGCUUAUUUUGUUCCUUAAGUAAUGCUCUCUCAUAGCAUUAAUUCUAUAUUCUUGAUUUUUUUAAUUUCACCUAAGUGCAUUCUUAAUGUUUGAUUUAUAGGCUUAAAAAACAAGUUCCGAUAUUUAAAAGUAAAAUUGAAGUUAUUUUAACACUGUCUUUAUGUCAAUUUUUUUAGAAAGCAUAUAAAGCCUUAUUUAAAAGCGAUUCAUUGGGAGAGUGUGGAACUUUGUUUCACAUGAAGACAGCAUUAAGGAGGAAUGAUGUUAAUGGAAAUGUAAAAUCAAACUACAAAGCCCAUGAAGAACUACUUCUGCUAAUUGUUAAAGCAUUAAUUCACAUAGCUUCAGAUGAAAUCAAGGACUGCAGAGAACAAAACAGAGACAUUGUGCUUAGUAGUGUUUUUUCAAAGAUUUAUGGUCUAGGAUACAGUACAGACGAUUAUGUUUGCAACUAUUUCACAAAUUUAUUAACCUGGGGGAUGCAAAUUGUGAAUAUGAAUGACACAGCAAAGGAGGGGGACAUGGAGAGACUCAUAAUGAAUAUGAAGGAAAAUGCUGCCUUUUUUUACAGCCACUCAGCAAUGAGUAAAUAUUUUUCUGAGUGCAUAAAUACCAUCUUACAAGUAGAUCAUCUUUCAUCCCCUCAUAUGAAAAUGAGACAGCUAGAAGGGGCAUUCAUCAAUACUAAAGGGGGAAAUGGUAAGAACAAGGAAGCAGACCUUGUGCAGGAGCAUGCCAUUAGAAACCAGAAAGACUUAAUAAGAGGUCUAGGAGCAAACAAAACUGAGAAUGGUUCAAGGAGAGCAAGCAGUUCAGCAGAUAUUAUUCAUAGAAUUGGAGACAACAUAGAUCAUUUGUUAAAUAUACCUAAACUUACCACAAGCCACGCAAAAAAGACUUCAUCAAAAGAUCUUGAAAUUGCAAUUAACAUUUUAAAGAAAGUUCAACCUUUUAAUUAUGUUAAGGGAAGGCAAUUUGAAAGUUUUAAAACCAUAGCAAAGAAUCCCAAAUUAGUUGUUCCAAAGAAAGAUCUUGUACACGCCAUCCAGAAAAAAAUUCAAAGGUUGUUUUUAAAUUCUUAAUUUUUUAUAGUCUGUAAUUAAUGGUUUUAUUGAAUAUCCACUGCCUGUAUCUACUGUACUUUGUGUCACUAUUAAAAAAUUAAAUGGGAAUACCUUACUUACUGAAUGUUAAUAAAAUAUAAAUUAUAACCAUAUUUUUUUUAAUACAUGUACAUGUGUAUGUAACUAAAUUUUCUCCAUUAAUACUGCAAAUGUUAUGAAGGUAACAGCAGUUUAUAGUUUAAGUAUUUACGCUUUAUCUAUUUCUAUAUUUAGUAAUAAAAUUAUUUAAGCUACAUUUAUUUCUAUAUUUUAAAAUAGUGUAAGAAUUAAAUUUUUACAAAUAAAUUUAGAAAUCUGGCAUUUCGUAAUGGGAGAUAAGUUAGUUCCCAAUGUUUUAUAUCAAUGGGAAUUGAUAUUGUAGAUAAAGUUAAGUUUAACUUCUUCAUUAAAAUAUCAGGAAAUAAUGACUUUUACAUUCUGUGUUAUUUAAAUAUUCUUUGUUAAUUAAUGAAAUUAUAGUGAGCUAUGUUAAUAAUUUAUUACACCCAAAAUGUAAGUCUUUAUCAAUCUAAUGCUGGCAUUAAAUACAUUUUCCUUGUAUGACUAAUAUCUGUAUCUUUCCCUAAUUAAUUUUUUUCUACUUAAUUGUUUUAAUGUGUCUCUCCAUGUCCCUUCAUUGUGUAAUUUUAAUCUAUAAGACCUUUCCUUAUUGUUUUGUACCAGUCUCUCCAUGUCCCUUCCUCAAGUUAAUAUUUUUCUAAAAAUCUCAUCGCAUUAUUUUGUACGAGUUCCUCAAUGUCCCUUCAUUGAGCAUUUUUUUUCUAAAAUACAUUACUCAAUUGUCUUGUAAAGUCUACAUUAUCAUGAUAAUAUGUAAAUAUUUAAUUAAAGAAACAUGAGUAGGGUUCAAAUUUCCAAAGAAAAAUUAUCAUUCCCAUCUCUAUAAUCAAUAUAAAAUAAUACAUAUUAUCACCUUAUAUUUCUUAACAAAUGGUAUGCUAACUAGUGAUAUACAAUAAAACUUUGAAUGUAUAAUAUACACUGUAAUAUAUUUUUAUAAAAUAUUAAAAAUAUAUAAUAUUGUUAUUUCCUUGUACAUCUACCUUCAGUUUAUUUUUUCACUGCUAUUAUCAGUUUGUAUUUGUUGUACAUGAUUCAUUGAUUGUAAUAACAACUAAAAUUUUACUUUACAUGUACAAAAUGAAAUAUUUUAGUUCGUUAUAUUUUCCUCACCAGAAAAUGAAUGCAUCUCAUUUUCUCAUUAAUUUUCAACAAUGCAUUUCAGAUAAUAAAUCAACAAGGCAACAUAUUAUGAAACUAAAUAUAAACUGAAGAGUGUGCUUUCAAGAAUGUAUAAUUUGAAAUAAUUCAUAUGCUAGUCUGCUAUAUUUUU
Long non-coding RNA from Mytilus californianus (California mussel), 2564 nucleotides. RefSeq lists it as uncharacterized. NCBI's taxonomy places the organism in Eukaryota, Metazoa, Mollusca, Bivalvia, Mytilida, Mytilidae. The transcript has 3 exons. The record is from RefSeq and is a predicted model, not a curated record.